RNAcentral lists this unclassified non-coding RNA (249 nucleotides) under Hevea brasiliensis (rubber tree). Lineage: Eukaryota; Viridiplantae; Streptophyta; Magnoliopsida; Malpighiales; Euphorbiaceae. The record is from RNAcentral.
GAACAGGCAGAAUAUGUCAUUCACAGCACCAAACAACCUGGGGACGAGGGGGCUCUGGUUGGCCGCCGAGUAGGCGAGGGCGCCGGCGGGGCCCAGGCUGACGGUGACCGCGUCGGCGUGCGCUCCGGCGAAGCCCUUCAUCAGCGCGCCCGCGCCGCCGGCCGCCACGGCGCCGCCGGCCACCGGCGGGCUCCGGAGGCCCUCCGGGCACUUGGCCACCGUCGGAUCAAACACCGCCAACAUCCUCGC